UAUAAGCCUGGCCGCCUCGUUGGCCGUCGUGUUGUCCUUCAGCUCUCCUGUCUCGCGCUCCAAAGGUCCUCAAGUCGAGAUGAAGCUGUUAUCUGCGGUCGUGGCGUUGUUGGCGAUGCUGUGUCUCUUAGCAUCUCCUGGGCGAGCCUUUCCGGAACCCGAAGCAGCCGCUGAUCCUGUCGCCGAUCCCGAACCUCUCUUCUUCUGGAAGUUUAGGCCCAGGUACUACCGGGGCUACGGGCGCUACCGGGGCUAUGGCGGUUACGGAGGCUACUAUAAGAGAGGAUACUACUGGUAGAGGAGAAGAUUUGUGGGACUAAGGUUUUCCGGAGUGGAAUUUUGUGGAACUAUUCUCUAUGCCGUUGGGCAUUAAUAAAACAAUAAGCAGUAACUAAUAAAA
Molecule: long non-coding RNA, 400 nt
Filed under: Penaeus japonicus
Lineage: Eukaryota; Metazoa; Arthropoda; Malacostraca; Decapoda; Penaeidae
Description: uncharacterized LOC122242254
Source: RNAcentral